Molecule: ribosomal RNA, 280 nt
Filed under: uncultured bacterium
Lineage: Bacteria
Description: partial 16S ribosomal RNA
Rfam family: Bacterial small subunit ribosomal RNA
Source: RNAcentral
ACGAACGCUGGCGGCAUGCCUAACACAUGCAAGUCGAACGAGACCGUUCGGGUCGUAGUAGGCGCACGGGUGCGUAACGCGUGGGAAUCUGCCCUUGGGUUCGGAAUAACUCGCCGAAAGGCGUGCUAAUACCGGAUGAUGUCGUAAGACCAAAGAUUUAUCGCCCAGGGAUGAGCCCGCGUAAGAUUAGGUAGUUGGUGAGGUAAAGGCUCACCAAGCCGACGAUCUUUAGCUGGUCUGAGAGGAUGAUCAGCCACACUGGGACUGAGACACGGCCCAG